AUACCAGCUUCAACGGACGCAUGUGGGACAGUAAAGAAUUCCUUUUUUACACUUGUGAAACUUGCUACACAACUUGUCUAACACCAGGAUGGUACUUGUAAUUCACAUGAAAUUGCGAAAAUUGGAGAAGGAAAAGAACAUGGAAUUAUGUUAGAAUAUGUUGAAUGGGCUACAAAAGACGAUAUCAGAGUCAUAAAGCAAGAUUUAAAGUCAAUACGUGAUUUAGUACAGAACUGUAGAAAAGAUAGGUGUAGUGUUUUUUAUCCAAGAGAUUGUCAGGACUUAUUGCUACAAGGUCACAGAAAAAGUAAGGUGUACACAAUUUUUCUAACGAAUGGGUGGAGCUUCGAGGUUUUCUGUGAUCAGGAAACAAACUGUGGGGGUUGGACGGUUAUACAAAGGAGACAGGUUGGGUCAGAAAAUUUCUUCAAAACCUGAAAU
Saccostrea cuccullata (small rock oyster) is the source of this 441-nucleotide long non-coding RNA. RefSeq lists it as uncharacterized. The record is from RefSeq and is a predicted model, not a curated record. NCBI's taxonomy places the organism in Eukaryota, Metazoa, Mollusca, Bivalvia, Ostreida, Ostreidae. The transcript is spliced from 3 exons.